This 347-nucleotide transfer-messenger RNA is filed under the name human gut metagenome. It matches the Rfam family "transfer-messenger RNA". From Rfam's summary of the family: Bacterial tmRNA, also known as 10Sa RNA or SsrA, is named for its dual tRNA and mRNA-like properties. The record is from RNAcentral.
GGGGGCGUACCGGUUUCGACGGGGAGGUCGAGCGCCGGUAAGCGGGCAGAGGUGCGGUGCCUCUAUAAAAAUCGCAAAACGUUAUAAAUUAAAUAACGAAGAUUACGCACUCGCUGCCUAAUUAGGCGGCCGUCUGACCAGAGAGGACCACGGCUUUGGAUCAGGCGUCAUUGAGUGGUGAACGCAUGCGCGGUAAGCUUUGCCCGCGCUGUGUAAAAUGAAGCUACCAAGUCCGGAAGGCUGCCUGCCGCCGUUCGGAUGAGGGAAAUUCAAUAGACAGGCUGCGCCCGGAGAAAGCUAUCGCAAGGCCCUCUCGGACACGGGUUCGACUCCCGUCGCCUCCACCA